AGCGGGAAACGAGACUCGAACUCGCGACCCCGACCUUGGCAAGGUCGUGCUCUACCAACUGAGCUAUUCCCGC
RNAcentral lists this transfer RNA (73 nucleotides) under Arsenophonus nasoniae (son-killer infecting Nasonia vitripennis). Its description in RNAcentral is "transfer RNA-Gly". The record is from RNAcentral. RNAcentral also lists the same sequence under 1 other name. Lineage: Bacteria; Pseudomonadati; Pseudomonadota; Gammaproteobacteria; Enterobacterales; Morganellaceae.